UUCCGGACUUGGCCGCGAUUGCUAGCGCC
RNAcentral lists this small RNA (29 nucleotides) under Bombyx mori (domestic silkworm). RNAcentral's name for it is "piRNA piR-bmo-2203651". The record is from RNAcentral. Lineage: Eukaryota; Metazoa; Arthropoda; Insecta; Lepidoptera; Bombycidae.